CUAAGAAAUUCACGGCGGGCUUGAUGUCGUUCACUGCCGUGUAGGCAG
This 48-nucleotide unclassified non-coding RNA is filed under the name Pseudomonas aeruginosa. RNAcentral describes it as "crRNA with 20nt spacer sequence from Pseudomonas aeruginosa (PDB 5XLP, chain K)". Lineage: Bacteria; Pseudomonadati; Pseudomonadota; Gammaproteobacteria; Pseudomonadales; Pseudomonadaceae. The record is from RNAcentral.